CCCGCUGAACUUAAGCAUAUCAAUAAGCGGAGGAAAAGAAACCAACAGGGAUUACCCUAGUAACGGCGAGUGAAGCGGUAACAGCUCAAAUUUAAAAUCUGGCUCUUGGGCCCGAGUUGUAAUUUGUAGAGGAUGUUUCGGGCAAGGUCUAGGUUUAAAUUUCUUGGAACAGAAUGUCAUAGAGGGUGAGAAUCCCGUCUUGAACCGCUGACCGCGUCCAUGUGAAACUCCUUCGACGAGUCGAGUUGUUUGGGAAUGCAGCUCAAAAUGGGUGGUAAAUUUCAUCUAAAGCUAAAUAUUGGCCAGAGACCGAUAGCGCACAAGUAGAGUGAUCGAAAGAUGAAAAGCACUUUGAAAAGAGAGUUAAACAGUAUGUGAAAUUGUUGAAAGGGAAGCGCUUGUGACCAGACUUGAGUCUGACGGUUCCCGGGGUCUUUUGACCCCGUUAUUCCGUCUUAACCAGGCCAGCAUCGGUUUGGGUGGUCGGUUAAAGGUCUUGGGAAUGUAUCUACCUCCGGGUCGACUUAUAGCCCAGGGCGUAAUGCGGCCUACCUGGACCGAGGAACGCGCUUUUGCUCGGAUGCUGGCGUAAUGGUUACAAGCGGCCCGUCUUGAAACACGG
Molecule: ribosomal RNA, 622 nt
Filed under: uncultured fungus
Lineage: Eukaryota; Fungi
Description: eukaryotic LSU rRNA
Rfam family: Eukaryotic large subunit ribosomal RNA
Source: RNAcentral